CCGGAGCUGUGAGACGCGCUAGCUCCCCAAUACGCUGCCUUGUCCUCGGCCUGCAGCCAUCUCUUUGCCUCCCACCCCUCGCCACGGUCUCGCAGCGUCCACGAGGGUCGGCUUCUGAAGCUCGGUCCCCAGUGCAGGUCAGGAUCGGGCAUGACCACAGCACUUCUCCAUUUGCCCUGCCCGCCCUUGGUCUUUACUCCUCACACACUCUCAGCCUAGUGCCUCCCAUCCUCUUAGUGAAAGCUGCAGCAAAAGGUCAGAAGAAGCUUGGAAGCAAAGACACAUCCUUAGCAGCUGCAGCACACAGGGAGGAGGCCCCACUGGCCAGAAAUUGGAUAACAGCCAAGAUGGUCCUGUUAAAACCUGAGUCAGAUCAGGUCCCUUCUGGGCUCAGAAGCUUCCAGUGGCUCCCAACUCACUCAGAAAGGACCCAGGAGAAGAUACCAGGUGCGGGGGUCCUGUGGCUGGGAUUCCAGGCACCACUGUUGUCCCUAGUAAUGGAGGAGCCACCAUGGGAUGAGGGGCUCUAUGCCUCCCCAACAGUCGGAUCAGUGAGUAUCUGCUCCCCCCAUGCCCGGAGAUGAAUCAUUAACAGUAAUAUCAAACUGCACCCAGUCGAUUGCAAACCCACUGCCUCCUUCAGUCCUCACAAGAGGCUUUGCUGCUUGAGUUCUAGGGAAGAAGCUGAGAGAACCCAAGAACACAGAGGGAUUUCAGUGACAUAGCCACAGAGUGUAGAGGCAGGGCCAGGCUCUUGCAGCAGCUGCCACUGCACUUUCUGCUUCAGGGACAGCCGAGCCACGGCGGUCAGGUGGGAGGCUUGGUGGACCCUGCAAGCCGUCAGGGCUGCCUGGGGUCUGAGACUGAGGAGCCGGGCCAGGCACACCAGGGCAGAGGGCAGGCAAGGAGUUUGUAAGCCUGAGACCCAGGGACCCUCAGCUGUCCCUAUCCAUACCAGAUCCUGGAUCCCAGCCCCUAGCCCAGAGCCCAGAGCAUGCACCUUCCUGGGGGGCUCUUCCCUGACAUCCCCCUGUUCCUGGCUACAGACAGUUCUUACACUCAUCCACCCAACAGGCAUUUAUUGAGUACCUACUGUAUGACUGGUACUCUUCUGGUGACACAGCCGUUCCCCACAGAGGUGGGGGCCUACCUUCUGGGAGUUUGUACUCCAGUGUGGGAUAUACAAGGGGCUCUGUGCAGGGACUGGAGUAGUCCUGGUGGUUCUAAGCACUAGGAUAGCUCUUUGUGGCAGCCCACGGCAUCCCAGUCCAUUCUGGGCCAGGCCCAAGGGCAGGGAGCACAGCACAGUCUUUGUCCUGGUGAACAUUCCAACCAGACAAGCAGGGAGGCAGAGGGAAGCUGCUUCAGGUGGGCUGCGCAGGGAGGGCCUCUCCACAGAGGUGCUGCUGGAGCUGAGAAGGAGCCGUCUUGAGAGGAGCCAGGGAAGGGUGAGCCAUGCGAAGGCAGGAGCUGGGGUGCGGAAGUGGCUGCACCCUGGAGGCUCUGCAGGAUGCUGAGGCUGAGAACAGCAGAUGUGGGAGAUGACUGGGAGCUGUGGAAGCUUCGAGGAGGGCCGGGGGGUCCCAACAGGCAGGACACGCCCCACAGUGAGCAAUCACUUGGCUCAAUCCACACGUGUCUUCUGGCAAUGCAAGCAUCACACCAUGGUUCUCGCAGGCUCCUGUGGUGGUGUGAGCCCUGGGGCACAGCUUCCUGCACCCUUCCAUGCAUCUCUGCCCUCCCUCCACAAAGUGGGGGUGCAGCCAUGCAGCUAACCAUCCUGACUCACGGAGGGGCAGCUACUGGCAACUCAAAAACACUAUUGUAGAGCAGAGAUUUUUGUUUGUAUUCUCAGAGCAACAGGAAUCUACUGACAUGUUUAAGCAAGAGAGAGACUAGAUCCGACUUCAGUUUUUUAAAAGAUUGCUCUCCUGCCAUGUGCAAAAGCACUGCUGGGCGCACCCAGGCACACCACGGUGUGGCUACAGUAGCCAAAAGGUGGAGGCACCUGAGUGUCCAUCAAUGGAUGAAGAAGCCAAAUGUGCUCUGUCCACACGGUGGAAUGUGGUCAGCCUUAGAGAGGAAGGAAAUUUGUCAACGCACAGCAUGGAUGAACCUUGAGGACACAGUGCUGACAGAAAUAAUCCAGGCACAGAAGGACAAGUCCUAUGAGAUUCCUCUUCUUGUGAGGUCCCUAGAGCAGUCAGGUUCACAGAGACGAAGAGUGGAAUGGUAGUCACCAAGCUUUGGGGGAGUCUUGUGUUUAAUGGGGACACUUACAGUUUUACAAGAUGAAAAAUUUCUGUGGAUGGAUGGUGGUAAUGGUUGCACAACAAUAUGAAUGUGCUUAAUGCACUGAACUGUACACUCAAAAAUGAGGAAGACAGUAAUUUUAUGUUAUGUGUAUUUUACCACAGUUUAAAAUAAAACAAGGGCUGUUGGGAUGUAUCAGUCGGUGUCCCCUGAGGAGAGGCCAGCACACUACAGCAGGCCGAACAGAACAAAUGUCAUACCAGGGCUUGUGACAGAGGCAGGUAGGUUAGAAGGUGCAAUUCCCAGAGCCCCAGGAGUGGAGGCUCCCACCCCACCCAGAGGCCUGGAGGAGCUGCGGGCAGGAGCUGUGGGCAAGGCAGAUAGGUGGACGCACAGGAGCCACCCGACAGGCACUGCUGGAACCUCGUCCAGGCAGGGGAGGAGGCAGCCAGGUGCCCUGAGCUCUCUCUGCUGCCCCAACCCCAGCGUGCCUGUGCCUCCUAUUGAUGGAAACAAACCAGAAGUUGGUGUGUGCUGUCCUAGAGAUCAGCCUCAGGACACUGUGGGGGCCAGGACAGGGCAGCCCAGGGAGAUGAGCAGCACAGGAGACAGAUGGGAGCCGAGGGAGUGGCGGCUCUACCGGGUGGUGGCCAUGGAGAUGCAAAUGGCCUUGAGCACAUAUUUUGGAGACAGAACUUCAGGACUAGGUACACUGGACGUGGUUGAGAAACAGGUUUUGUUUUGCCUUUCUUUGGUAACUCUGGAAAGCAAAAGGUGCUAGAGAGAGGCAGGGUGGAGUGGGGGAGAGACCAGGUUUCAAGGUAGACAGGCCUGGAGCCAGGAGGCUCCGGCACAGACCCAGGGCGCAGGAUGUUCACAGUAUCUACCGCAGGAGGGCACAGGUGCCGCGGAGGGAUGGGGCAGAGGUGCCCCCUGUUACUGGCCAUGGGAUGCCCAAAGGUCCCCAAGGAGGGCCAAUGGCUAUAGUUCCUGGGAGUUGGGGCAUCCGGGGGGUUCAGGCAGUGCCCUUUGCCCAGGCUGGAAUAUUUUCCUGGCUGCUCCAUCCAUGCCAAGGGCCUCCUGGGUGUGUCACCAGAAGAGUGGGGAAGUCGUGCUCACAUAUUCUAAAGACAAGGGAAAGACUUUAGUGGUGGCCCAUGGGGUUAGGCCACCACCUAGAGCCUACAGGAAAGAGGAAGACCUGGACACUCCUCUCUCCCUGCCCUGCCUGUUUUGGGAAGGCGCUCUGGGAAGGGCUGAGUCUGCACCUUGCACAGUCCGUACAGGUCACUGGUCAGGCCAGGGCUGUUUUCAGCUGCUCAUUUAGAAAAGUGUAGUCAGAACUGUCAAGAAAAUCAACGAAGACAAGAAUAAAAUAGAAAAGGAAAGGUAAGAACACAGCAGAGCUCUUCGUGGGUGCAAGGGAGGCGGUGUCCACUCUCCUUUCUUAGGACAGAUAAUGAAUUUCUGAAUUCUGGUUACAACCUUGUAGUGCCGUGAGAAGUUGCUGUGUUUGUGGGCAGAGGUCUUGGCUUCUCUUCACCAUCUGUACCCAGCGCCCUACACCCAUUCUCCUGACCUAGCCCCCCAGCCCUACCUGCGAGCUCUCCCUCUCCCUCUAGCUUUUGCCUCCCCUGGCUCAAUGCAUCAUCCUACAGUGCCGAGUCCUGAUGUGAGGACCAGAGGGGCAGAAUCAUGCUGAACCUCUAGCCCCUUUCCUUCUGCAAUGCCAGGAUGUGCCAGUAGCCCUGCACCAGCUCUGCCUCCUCCUGUCAGGCGGUCAUCCGUGUGGGCCAGGCCCCCUACUCUGCUCGGGGUCACCAGCGGUUCUCUGGGCCUGCCUGAGAGCAGUCAGCCACCUUCCCCUACCAGCCUCAGGCCAUCCUCAUUCCUCAAGGCCUUGACCUCUUCAGCCACCUAGAAAUGGGCCUUUAUCUGGUCCGGGUCCUGGCUGGGGCUUUUGUUCCAUGCCUCUGGCCACUUCUUGCAAAAGCAAAUGUUUCUCAUACAGCAUUGGGCACUUUACCACUGUUGGAGAGGCCAGGAAAAUUCAGAGGCUUGAAGGGCUAGAGCCUCAGAAGUCAGAUGUGAUCUGUGGUCUCUGCACUCGGAGUGCGACUCUUCCCAUGCGAUGACUUGAGAACAUGUGACUGUAUCAGAUUCAGCUGGCAGAUUGGCAGGAAGGUUAAUAAGACAGUCUUGAGUUUCUGCCCAGACAGGCGGAGCCAGGGACCCAGGAAUCUGCAUUUGCAGGAGACACUCAGCUAAUUCUGAAAUUCCUAGUUCAGUGGAUCAUCGUGCAGAGUCAGGGUCAUGUGCCAGCUAUCGUCAGGUAUUGGGCCAUGUCCAUGAACACUGUGAACCAUGACUUCUGACUUCAGGAAGCUUGUAUUCUGUGAGGGGAAGGUAGAAAGCAAGAGAUAGACUCAGGCAGUAAGUGACAAGGAGUGUCAGAGGGAAAGAUGAGAAGUGAUCAUGGACAGUGGUGGUGCUGGGGGUGUCAGGCUAGAGCCGUGGGCUGCAAUGUGGAGCAGGCUGGUGAGAGCAGCCCUCACUGAGAAGGUGACUGAAGUCUUGGAGGUGGAGUACGGGGAGAGGAAGCAGGUCGUGCAAGGGUCCUGAGGCAGCCUGGUGUAACUGAGAGGCAGAAGGAGCUGGUGCGGCUGCAGUGGUACAGGGAGAGUGAAGAGAGGGUGAGGCCAGAGAGCCUGCGGGGGAUGCAACGCUGAGUGAGUUUGAGCUGUUGGAGGGUUUUGAGCAGAGAGAUGACGUGGUAUGACAUGUCUUCAGAGGAUCCCUCCCUCUUGGCCCACCACGAACAGAAUCUGGGUGUAGGGUCAGGGAGGAUAAAGCAGAAGCCAGAGACCAGCUGGAGACUUUCUGUAACUGGGGCAAGGGCGUCUGAGACGAGUGGCAGCCACAAGGCGAAUCUAACAGGAUCCUGCCUGGGAUGGACUGCUCAGCUGGGCCAAGUUCUAUUCCAAGUGCUUCCCCAGUAUUAACUCAUUUAAUGCUUGCCCAGCUCUGUAAGCAGGCACACUCAUUGUCCUGUUUUAUAGAGAAGGAUAUGGAGGCACAGAGAGGGUGAGUUACUCACCCUGGGCCACACAGCUAGAAGAUGACAGAGCCAGGAUUUGAAUCAAGUAGUCUGUAGCCAGAGCCCAGGCUCUUAAAGAGCCACACUUUUCCAACAGAAAAGCACAAGCUGUAAGCUGAGGGAGGGUGUUUGUAGAGAAAAGGAAACACUGGGCCCUGGAUCUAGGAGGGGCCAUCAGAGGGACAAGAGGUCCACUCCAGUCUGACUUUGGGUGGUCCCGACUGUACCUCUCCUGGCAGUAUGGGCUCCGGCAGGUCCCUGGGCCUCCCCAU
Molecule: long non-coding RNA, 5622 nt
Organism: Cebus imitator (Panamanian white-faced capuchin)
Lineage: Eukaryota; Metazoa; Chordata; Mammalia; Primates; Cebidae
Exons: 3
Source: RefSeq, a predicted model, not a curated record